RNAcentral lists this ribosomal RNA (499 nucleotides) under uncultured bacterium. RNAcentral describes it as "bacterial SSU rRNA". It matches the Rfam family "Bacterial small subunit ribosomal RNA", at positions 19 to 518 of the family's 1533-position model. The record is from RNAcentral.
UCUGGUCAGGAUGAACGCUGGCGGCGUGCUUAACACAUGCAAGUCGAACGAAGCAACUUAUUACGAUCCCUUCGGGGUGACGAUUGUUGACUGAGUGGCGGACGGGUGAGUAACGCGUGGGUAACCUGCCUUGUACAGGGGGACAACAGUUGGAAACGACUGCUAAUACCGCAUAAGCGCACAGCUUCGCAUGAAGCAGUGUGAAAAGUUUUUCGGUACAAGAUGGACCCGCGUCUGAUUAGCUAGUUGGUGAGGUAACGGCCCACCAAGGCGACGAUCAGUAGCCGACCUGAGAGGGUGACCGGCCACAUUGGGACUGAGACACGGCCCAAACUCCUACGGGAGGCAGCAGUGGGGAAUAUUGCACAAUGGGCGAAAGCCUGAUGCAGCCGACGCCGCGUGAGCGAAGAAGUAUUUCGGUAUGUAAAGCUCUAUCAGCAGGGAAGAUAAUGACGGUACCUGACUAAGAAGCACCGGCUAAAUACGUGCCAGCCGCCGC